AGCCGGGGAGUCAGCGGUUCCCUGUACCAGCAUCGCUAUAGCUGGGGUGAUAUCCUGCAGAGGGUUUUGGAAGUCGGAGCUGCCCUUUGUAAGUGGCGUUGAGAUCUGGGUCUUGCGCAACGGAUGCCUACGAACCGUGUCAGGUCAGGAAUGAAGCAGCACUAAGAAGGAUUUUCCGUGUGCCGUGAGGGUGCCUGGGUUGAGUUAACUGCAAAGGUAACGGCCGGUUUUGCGGAUUCGAAGCAGGAU
This 249-nucleotide signal recognition particle RNA is filed under the name pig gut metagenome. RNAcentral's name for it is "Bacterial large signal recognition particle RNA". It matches the Rfam family "Bacterial large signal recognition particle RNA". Rfam says of the family: The signal recognition particle (SRP) is a universally conserved ribonucleoprotein involved in the co-translational targeting of proteins to membranes. The record is from RNAcentral.